UAGAGUUUGAUCCUGGCUCAGAACGAACGCUGGCGGCAGGCCUAAAACAUGCAAGUCGAACGAUUGUAGCAAUACAGUAGUGGCGCACGGGUGAGUAACAUGUGGGAAUAUGCCUUUUGGUACGGAACAACUUUUGGAAACGAAAGCUAAUACCGUAUGGUCCCUUCGGGGUAAAGAUUUAUCGCCAAAAGAGUAGCCCGCACUGGAUUAGCUAGUUGGUAAGGUAAUGGCUUACCAAGGCGACGAUCCAUAGCUGGUCUGAGAGGACGAUCAGCCACACUGGGACUGAGACACGGCCCAGACUCCUACGGGAGGCAGCAGUUAGGAAUAUUGGACAAUGGRMSRAARKUYKRWYCCAGCCAUGCCGCGUGAGCGAUGAAGGCCUUCGGGUUGUAAAGCUCUUUAGUCCACGAAUAUAAUGACUGUAGUGGAAGAAUAAGCCCCGGCUAACUUCGUGCCAGCWGCCGCGGUAAUAC
This 476-nucleotide ribosomal RNA is filed under the name uncultured Methylosinus sp. RNAcentral describes it as "partial 16S ribosomal RNA". It matches the Rfam family "Bacterial small subunit ribosomal RNA", at positions 1 to 526 of the family's 1533-position model. Lineage: Bacteria; Pseudomonadati; Pseudomonadota; Alphaproteobacteria; Hyphomicrobiales; Methylocystaceae. The record is from RNAcentral.